AGAUUGAACGCUGGCGGCAGGCCUAACACAUGCAAGUCGAGCGGCAGCACGGGUACUUGUACCUGGUGGCGAGCGGCGGACGGGUGAGUAAUGCCUAGGAAUCUGCCUGGUAGUGGGGGGAUAACGCUCGGAAACGGACGCUAAUACCGCAUACGUCCUACGGGAGAAAGCAGGGGACCUUCGGGCCUUGCGCUAUCAGAUGAGCCUAGGUCGGAUUAGCUAGUUUGGUGAGGUAAUGGCUCACCAAGGCGACGAUCCGUAACUGGUCUGAGAGGAUGAUCAGUCACACUGGAACUGAGACACGGUCCAGACUCCUACGGGAGCAGCAGUGGGGAAUAUUGGACAAUGGGCGAAAGCCUGAAUCCAGCCAUGCCGCGUGUGUGAAGAAGGUCUUCGGAUUUGAAAGCACGUUUAAGUCGGGAAGAAGGACAGUUAAAUUAAUACGUUAGCUUGUUUGAACGUACGACUAGAAUAAGCACG
RNAcentral lists this ribosomal RNA (480 nucleotides) under uncultured soil bacterium. RNAcentral's name for it is "bacterial SSU rRNA". It matches the Rfam family "Bacterial small subunit ribosomal RNA", at positions 26 to 494 of the family's 1533-position model. The record is from RNAcentral.